CCUCAGUAAUGGCGCCCAACCUUCUUUGCCACAUGUGAUCUUCUCAUCUCCCUCAGCAAUUGCACCCAGAAAAACUCACCAGCACCGCCGUCUCAACCUCAACCGCCGUCUCUGUCACCUCCUUGCCGACGUUGAUGCGCGUUUCUUCUCCUUCUGUAAACCGAAUAAUGGUGGCCGGCGGGGUAGGAAAGCGAGGAGUAGAGCUGUAGAGGAUUUUGGCUUGGAGGCAUUAGGAAGUUCAGGAGCAUGAACACCUAUUUUCGUGAUUUGAGGGAGAUCGCGAUUCGCGUCAGCUUUUGAAAACGGGUUCUUAUAUUAAGGAAGCAUGUUUAUGAAUUUAGCUAAUUGUCACUCACAUAGAGCGGGAGGUUGAGCAACUUCGUUGGAAAAAAAAUCUUGUGGCAAACAAGAAGAAAGGAAAGCUCGAACCAUCUGGGCGCCAGAAGAUGAUAGAAGAAGGUACAGAGAUAUCUAGCUAGCAAUAGAUGGACUGAAAUAGCCAAGGUGGUCUCUGGGAGGAUCGAUAAUGCUGUGAAGAAUCUCAAAUCCUGUUGAUGAAUUCCAUUAAUGAGUAGUAGCUUUCACCUGUUGUUGACGAUCUCGAAUGAGCUUUUUUCGUUUCUGGAAUUUGAAGCUGUUUACCUCAAAAUCGAUCGAUUUCUUCAGUUCCCUGGAUGAAUUCGGAGAGAGGAACAGCAAUUACAAAGCUCAAUCAUACAGAAAGAACAACAAUACUGAAGAAAAGGAGGAAGUCGUCGCUUCAAUUUCAUAUUCCACCAUUUUUAUUCAAAUCAGCUCAAUCUGAAGCUUCAUCUUCAAAUUUGCAGAGUGUUGAAGAAUCUUCUGCAUUUUACAACUGUUUCUAGAAUUCAAAGAUUGAAGUUCUGAUUUAAUCUUCCUUUUUCCAGAAAAUUGCAAGUUUUUUCUUCAGGGUUUAUCAGUCCGAUCAUCAAUGCCCACGAAGAAGCACGUGAAUAAAUUGAAUCGAUGGGAGAUUUAAAAAAAAAAGGCAUGGUGUGGGUUGUGAAAAUGUGGGGCUUAUCUACAGAUUCGUUGUCCGGUUGUAACGUUCGGUUCUUCUCCCCAAGUCCAGGAGAAUCCAUUUUGUAGCUACUACUAAUCUCACCAUGGUGUUGCGACGGCAAUGAAGACAUCACCAAAAUGUUCGUGAUUUUGAAGUUGGUGUUGAGCUUCUUUACAUUAUUCUUCGCAAGGAUUAUCAAGUAAACGCAUUGGUCUACCUUUAAAUACCGACCAGUUUGACCAAUAUAAUACGACUCUUAAGGGUUUGAUACAUGUGGCAAGCAAAGCUCCAAAAAAUGCACAUGCUCACUCUUUACUGGUCUUAAUGUACCAAAGAUUGGGUCAGCCUCAAAAGGCAAUGCCUGACUAUAAGAAAGUAGCAAAUGAUUUAUUCCGUUUUGAUGAGGGGAUUGACAUGCCAAAGUUGUUAUCAUUGGUCCAAAUGCAUCUUCCAUAGUAAUGAUAGCUUCUAUUGGGACAUAACGAUAGCUUCUAUGGACAUAUGUUCUUCAAAGAAUCAAAAAAAUGAUAUCUACAUAUCGAUGGUUCGAAGUUUACAUAUCUAUGGUAGUGAUCCGGCUGCUAAUGUUACCCUCUUAUCUAGCCAACCAGUGAAGGAUUCAUCAACCUUGGAGAGCCUGCUGAAAAAGCCACAGGUAUUCAACAAUCCGAGGGAGCAGCCUUUUACCAUUGAGUAGAUAAAUGAAGUUCGAGAAAAGUUGGCAAAGUUCAUUACCAUUUAUUGUCUUUCAUAUUUUCUUGUAGUGAAUCUUAGAUUAUGGAUGCUAGUUUUUCAUAGGAUUGUAAUUUAAUCAAUUUUUAUAUUUAUAAUUAUAUACUAUUCAAUUUAAUUAUC
This is a long non-coding RNA of Spinacia oleracea (spinach), 1879 nucleotides long. RefSeq lists it as uncharacterized. NCBI's taxonomy places the organism in Eukaryota, Viridiplantae, Streptophyta, Magnoliopsida, Caryophyllales, Amaranthaceae. The transcript has 15 exons. The record is from RefSeq and is a predicted model, not a curated record.